CAGUCCUCUCCUUCCUGCACCUGGGAUGUAUUUCCUGGCACUGUCCUGCACCUCUGUGUGCAGCUUCUCCUGGUUGGGCUGCAGAGAGCUCUUGCCCUGCAGGUACAGGGCCCUGAAGUGCCUUCAUGAAGUCAAUGCAUGUGGCCACAGCAGUGUUCAUACUGAUAUAAUUGCAACAUAAACGGAAUUUGGUUCAUCUAAUUAGGGUCUGGUGGCUAUCCAGCUGAAACGUACUUCCUUGGAGCUGCACAACUCCAGCUCCAGCAGGCCUCUGUCCCCUGCUGCUGUGCUCUGGUCCCAGCUCUCAGGUGGGUCUGGGUCCUGCAGGGCUCACCCACGUCGGCUGUGCAGGGCUCUGCUCCCCUGGCUCGGCCACAAGUACCGAGAUGUUGUCUGCUGGGUGCCUUUCUCCAGGGCAGCCCCGCCAGGAGCGGUCUUCCGGGGUGACGCUGUGAGCUUCCCUGUGCUUGGUGAGGUUUUCUCUUUGUCCUCCCCAGGUUUCUGAAGGGCUUCAGCGCCUGGGAGCCGCCAGGCUGCUUGUGCACCACCGGCACCAAACCCUGCUUGGAGGCUGUGCCUGUGCCACCGCAGCACCCACGGCACUCGGGGGUGCAGAGCGGUGACAAAAUGCACCGAGACAGCCGUGGGGCCUGGCCACCGGAGUGAGCGCAGAGGGCAGGACCGGGACCCUCCUUCCCCAUCAAACCGCAGCAGCUUCCCAGUUCUGCUCUUCAUGGAAAAUAUUUGCACUCAAAACGUGGCCCCUCACACAAACAGCGGGGAGGAGCCGGCCCAGGAGUGCCAGCAGAGGCGCAGACACGCAGCAGAGGUGCGGUGCUGGCACUGCGUGGUCCCACCUCGGACCAGGACAGACACGAGACACCCCCGGCACCUGUAGGAGCUCCCCUGCAGUGCAAGGCCUCCACAGGCAGAGGUCACGGGGCGAAGGGCUGUCAGCGGGUGGAACGCGACCCUGCGCCCAGCGGGGCCCGCGGACGUGCCAUCCACCAGGCUUCGCAACCCCCGGUGACGAUGAUCUGCUGUGGAAAGGAAAGUUGUGUGAGCCCCAGAAAAAAUGUCUUUAGCCUUAUAAACUGACACAGUUGUUUAUAAUAUUCCUAAGUGCCAUUGCGUGAUGAUAGCAAUUCUCCGACAGGGAAAAUUUACUUUUUUCCUUCUUUUUUUAAAUAAAGUUAGAAAGCUGUAAGUCCCA
This 1213-nucleotide long non-coding RNA is filed under the name Anser brachyrhynchus (Pink-footed goose). Its description in RNAcentral is "lncRNA (ENSABRG00000008558.1)". Lineage: Eukaryota; Metazoa; Chordata; Aves; Anseriformes; Anatidae. The record is from RNAcentral.